GACGAACGCUGGCGGCGUGCUUAACACAUGCAAGUCGAACGAUGAAGCCCAGCUUGCUGGGUGGAUUAGUGGCGAACGGGUGAGUAACACGUGAGUAACCUGCCCUUGACUUCGGGAUAACUCCGGGAAACCGGGGCUAAUACCGGAUAUGAGCUACCUUCGCAUGGGGGUGGUUGGAAAGUUUUUCGGUCAGGGAUGGGCUCGCGGCCUAUCAGCUUGUUGGUGGGGUGAUGGCCUACCAAGGCGACGACGGGUAGCCGGCCUGAGAGGGCGACCGGCCACACUGGGACUGAGACACGGCCCAGACUCCUACGGGAGGCAGCAGUGGGGAAUAUUGCACAAUGGGCGCAAGCCUGAUGCAGCGACGCCGCGUGAGGGAUGAAGGCCUUCGGGUUGUAAACCUCUUUCAGCAGGGAAGAAGCGCAAGUGACGGUACCUGCAGAAGAAGCGCCGGCUAACUACGUG
RNAcentral lists this ribosomal RNA (465 nucleotides) under uncultured bacterium. RNAcentral describes it as "bacterial SSU rRNA". It matches the Rfam family "Bacterial small subunit ribosomal RNA", at positions 28 to 507 of the family's 1533-position model. The record is from RNAcentral.